This 429-nucleotide ribosomal RNA is filed under the name uncultured Azoarcus sp. RNAcentral describes it as "bacterial SSU rRNA". It matches the Rfam family "Bacterial small subunit ribosomal RNA", at positions 355 to 776 of the family's 1533-position model. Lineage: Bacteria; Pseudomonadati; Pseudomonadota; Betaproteobacteria; Rhodocyclales; Zoogloeaceae. The record is from RNAcentral.
UGGGGAAUUUUGGACAAUGGGGGCAACCCUGAUCCAGCCAUGCCGCGUGAGUGAAGAAGGCCUUCGGGUUGUAAAGCUCUUUCAGACGGAAAGAAAACGCUUCCCCUAAUACGGGAGGUGGAUGACGGUACUGUCAGAAGAAGCACCGGCUAACUACGUGCCAGCAGCCGCGGUAAUACGUAGGGUGCGAGCGUUAAUCGGAAUUACUGGGCGUAAAGCGUGCGCAGGCGGUUGUGUAAGACAGGUGUGAAAUCCCCGGGCUUAACCUGGGAACUGCGCUUGUGACUGCACGGCUAGAGUACGGCAGAGGGGGGUGGAAUUCCACGUGUAGCAGUGAAAUGCGUAGAUAUGUGGAGGAACACCGAUGGCGAAGGCAGCCCCCUGGGCCGAUACUGACGCUCAUGCACGAAAGCGUGGGGAGCAAACAGG